RNAcentral lists this long non-coding RNA (758 nucleotides) under Gallus gallus (chicken). RNAcentral's name for it is "lncRNA (ENSGALG00010004979.1)". The record is from RNAcentral. Lineage: Eukaryota; Metazoa; Chordata; Aves; Galliformes; Phasianidae.
GAGGGCUUUGGCUACCUGAUGCUGCCUUGCGGCUCCACGUCGCUCUCAGCACUUCAUGUUGUUUCUAGAGGCAUUAGCUUACGUCGCCAGCAGUUUAAUUCGAGGAGUGCAGUGCUGGCGGCAACAAAAGCAGUUAAGAGAUGAGUUGGUUUCUGGCUUCUGGAAUCUUCAGGCUGAGCUCUGUGCUGUUACCUUGCAAGCAGGAAGAUGUCACAUGAAUUCUGACAGAUAUGUUAUCAGAUGACUUUCUCCACUGACUUCAAGCUGUGCACAGCCAACAGCAGACUGUUGAUUUCCAUAAGUAUGGGUGUUUAAGAAGGUUGAGAACAGUGUGAAAUGUGGAUUUCUAAUGCACCUGGAAAUGCUUUCCUGGCCCUUCCUGCUUCCCAGAAGCACUGCUUGAUUCUAAUAUGCUCGGGGUGAAGUCCUGUGACUUCUAAUGCCAUGCUGAAAGGAAGAAGUCAAGUAAGAUGGAGUUAGAGUUUAGAUGAAAAUGUGAAUAAUGCCUGAAUGAAGUUCAAGUGAGAGUGUGGCUGAGAAGUAGCCCUUCAGAUGCUGUUAGAACUCAGUAUGAAUAUUUAAGUUCAUAGUUAAUAUUCAUAUAGUUAAUAUUGCAAACAAAAUUUGAUUACAGGAUUAAAACACAUAGGAAAACUUGUUUUCUUGUCUAAAUUAGUGUUUAUAAUAAUGCUGGAAGCUGUUCUGCUCACUUUCAAUGCAGUAUUUGUAUAAAUAAAAUCUUGGAUUUGUAAUUCCAA